This 858-nucleotide ribosomal RNA is filed under the name uncultured Weissella sp. Its description in RNAcentral is "bacterial SSU rRNA". It matches the Rfam family "Bacterial small subunit ribosomal RNA", at positions 28 to 839 of the family's 1533-position model. Lineage: Bacteria; Bacillati; Bacillota; Bacilli; Lactobacillales; Lactobacillaceae. The record is from RNAcentral.
GAUGAACGCUGGCGGCGUGCCUAAUACAUGCAAGUCGAACGCAUUGUGGUUGAAAUGAUAUGAAGAACUUGUUCAGAUUUGAUUUUCAACAUUGCAAUGAGUGGCGAACGGGUGAGUAACACGUGGGAAACCUACCUCUUAGCAGGGGAUAACAUUUGGAAACAAAUGCUAAUACCGUAUAAUAAUUAAAACCGCAUGGUUUUAGUUUAAAAGAUGGUCUUGCUAUCACUAAGAGAUGGUCCCGCGGUGUAUUAGUUAGUUGGUGAGGUAAUGGCUCACCAAGACAAUGAUACAUAGCCGAGUUGAGAGACUGACCGGCCACAAUGGGACUGAGACACGGCCCAUACUCCUACGGGAGGCAGCAGUAGGGAAUCUUCCACAAUGGACGAAAGUCUGAUGGAGCAACGCCGCGUGUGUGAUGAAGGGUUUCGGCUCGUAAAACACUGUUGUAAGAGAAGAAUGACAUUGAGAGUAACUGUUCAAUGUGUGACGGUAUCUUACCAGAAAGGAACGGCUAAAUACGUGCCAGCAGCCGCGGUAAUACGUAUGUUCCAAGCGUUAUCCGGAUUUAUUGGGCGUAAAGCGAGCGCAGACGGUUAUUUAAGUCUGAAGUGAAAGCCCUCGGCUCAACCGAGGAAUUGCUUUGGAAACUGGAUAACUUGAGUGCAGUAGAGGAAAGUGGAACUCCAUGUGUAGCGGUGAAAUGCGUAGAUAUAUGGAAGAACACCAGUGGCGAAGGCGGCUUUCUGGACUGUAACUGACGUUGAGGCUCGAAAGUGUGGGUAGCAAACAGGAUUAGAUACCCUGGUAGUCCACACUGUAAACGAUGAGUGCUAGUUGUUCGAGGGUUUCCGCCCU